AGGGCGGAAAUACGCAACGGGGGCUUCCGGUGACCGCGCAGCCGCCCAACGCAGCGGAAUGGAGGAGGUCCCUCAUGACUGUCCCGGAACCGGCAGCGCCCAGGCGGGCCGAGGGGCCUCAUGUCAGGGGUGCCCCAACCAGCGGCUUUGCGCAUCUGGAGCUGGUGCCGCUCCGGACCCGGCCAUAGAGGAAAUCAAAGAGAAGAUGAAGAGUGUGAAACACAAGAUCUUGGUGCUGUCUGGGAAAGGUGGUGUUGGGAAAAGCACAUUCAGUGCCCACCUGGCCCACGGCCUAGCGGAGGAUGAAAACACACAGGUUGCUCUUCUAGACAUUGACAUAUGCGGGCCGUCAAUUCCCAAGAUAAUGGGAUUGGAAGGCGAGCAGGUUCACCAGAGCGGCUCAGGCUGGUCUCCAGUGUUCCUGGAAGACAACUUGGGGGUGAUGUCGGUGGGUUUCUUGCUCAGCAGUCCCGACGACGCUGUCAUCUGGAGGGGACCAAAGAAAAAUGGCAUGAUCAAGCAGUUCCUCCGCGACGUGGACUGGGGUGAGGUCGACUACCUCAUCGUGGACACCCCGCCCGGGACGUCGGACGAACACCUGUCGGCCGUCCAGUACCUGGCCGCGGCACACAUCGACGGGGCGGUGAUCAUCACCACCCCGCAGGAGGUGUCGCUCCAGGACGUCCGCAAAGAGAUCAGCUUCUGCCGCAAGGUGAAGCUGCCGGUCCUCGGGGUGGUGGAGAACAUGACCAGCUUCGUCUGCCCCAAGUGCCAGAAAGAGUCUCAGAUCUUCCCACCAACGACAGGGGGCGCGGAGGUCAUGUGCCAGGAUCUACAGGUCCCGCUCCUCGGCAGAGUGCCCCUUGACCCGCGCAUAGGUAAAAGUUGCGACAAAGGACAGUCUUUUUUCGUUGAAGCACCGGAUUCACCAGCUACUGUAGCCUACAGAAGUAUAAUUCAGAGUAAGUGUUCAAGAAUCCAGGACUUUUGUAGCCUGCGUCAGCCGAAGGGAGAGGACCACGUCAGUUCCUGAAACACAGGAGGACGCGGAGGACACAAGCAGCACGUCUGUCCCACCUGAGCAGCUCGGGCACGAGAACAUGUAUGUAAAGGGCGUUCUUUACAGAUGUGCCAUUUUAAAAAUAAAAACACCUCAUCAAACCUCUGCCCCGAAACCUACCUCACGUGGAAAACCAGUGGCCUGCGGGUCAUGUAAGAAGCUCACCUGAUUACAGAACCUCUCACUGAAGCCUUCACUGCCUCGGAAAAUCAGCCUUAAAAAGAACCAAAAGGAUGAAUGCGUGGCUUCGCUGCAGAUACAUACAGUCAGGGUAGUGCAAACCGUGUCCUCAGAUGGAGGAGAAAUAAAGGCGGCGCUGGAGCCUCACGCUGGGGCUUGUUCUGAGCUCAGUGCACACGAUGCGGUGGGGCUGUGCUCGGAAAUUUCCCCUGUGAGCAGACCUGGGGGGAUGCGUUGACACCCUCUAUCUGAAUGUGUGUCCACUGUAUCCAGUCAUUUCCAGUGUCGGACGAGACAGUUACAGGGUUCUUUAAAUGGAAGGAGGGAGACGCAGACUCUGGGACGAUUCUCGUUGCCAUGAGACGCUCACUCGGUGUUUGAGACACAGGAACCGAGACCAGCUGAGGGAAGAAUAAAUUCCUGUUUCCCACCUUGUCCUGGGCACGGAAGUGGAAGGGCAGGCAAAUCCCCUUGUCCUUUCCCUCCCAGCCUCUUAGCGGCCCCCCACACCUCCCCCAAGCCUGCACAGGGUGGAACCUGCACGUGUUCAAGGCAAGGAAGUUGGGAUCCCUCUGAAGAACCUCCGGGCUGCACAGCCCGGGAAGGCGCGGUGCACAGGCUGGUUCCCCGGGCUACUCGCUCAGCCAUGCGGGGCCCUGGGGGGAGCCCACCCACACCACAGGCGCAGUUGAGCCCAGGGGGAGCUGCACUUCCAAAGCCCCCAAGCCCUGCACCGUCAGACUGCCACCUCCAUCCCACCUCUUACCUAAUGCUUGUGAAUCUCCAGGCCCUCGAGGCCAGGCUUCUGAAAGUCGCCUGGGCUGGCCUGCAAGGGAAAGCGUCAGUCCUGACUCUGUCUCACCUGUGAGUGGCCUCGUCCUGCCGAUUCGAGGCCAGAGCAAACCCACAAUGAACUGACGGCCUGCAGGGCUGCUUCUCCAGGUCUUGGCAUAAAGCCGCACCGUUCACAUUUAAGUCAGUUCAAACCAUUCCAGGAUGAGCUGGGUCAAAUUUAAAAGAUCUGUUUCUUACACCUAGAAAUAUAGUUGGUGAAAACAUUUUGUUUAUGGUUUACUGUGUGAUUCCACUUAUGGGAGGUCCCUAGAGUAGUCAGAUUCAUGGGGACAGAAAGUAGACGGUGGGGCUGCCAGGAGCUUGGGCGCCAGGGUGGAGAACGGGAGUUCAGUGGGUCCAGAGUUUCCGUCUGGGAAGAUGAAAGAGUUCUGGUGACAUGACAAUGUGGAUCUACUGAACCAUAUGCUUAAAAAUGGUUAAAAUGGUAAAUUUCAUGCUGUGUAUGUUUUACCACAAUUAAAAAAAAAAGCCAAUAGCAGCCUGGCUAAUAUGAAAAACAUUAAACUGCAGUUGCCAACAGGC
This is a non-coding RNA of Vicugna pacos (alpaca), 2617 nucleotides long. The record is from RefSeq and is a predicted model, not a curated record. Lineage: Eukaryota; Metazoa; Chordata; Mammalia; Artiodactyla; Camelidae.